GCUUUUAUUGAGGUUUUUUUUGAUAAUUAUAAUAUAUUUGGCUAAUAUUAUGAGUGAUGGUUGUAUAGUUUUUAUAGUUUAGUAGUACUGUUUAGGAAAUAAGUUUAUUUGUUUGUAAUAUUAGGUUUUUUAGUACCUUUUGUAUUAGGGUCUUUCAAUGUGAAUUUAUAUUAAUUUUGUCUCGAUGAAUAUUGGGCUAUUUUAUUGGUUAUUAUUUUUGUUGAAUAAAAUUAGUUAUAAUUUAAUAGUUAUGAAAUAUUAUUCAAAUUAUUUUUUAUCUAGUUCUUUAAGAAAUAUAAUUGAAGAUAUUUAUAUUAUAAAGAUAUGUUGGGAUUAGCUUACUUAUUUUUUAUAUAUUAAAGAGAUUUAUUUUAUUGGUGAAGUUAAAAGUUCUUAUUUUGAUGAUGUUAUUAUUUAUUAGAUUUGGUUUUUAUUAUUUUUUUAAUUUUAUGUUAAAAUUUAGGAUGUUUAUUUAAUAUUUAUAUUUGAUGUUAUAAUGAUAGGAUUAGUAAUAUGUUAUAUUUAUAAAUUUGUUUUUUGAAUUGGUUUGAGUAUAUGAGAAAGGAAGUUAUUAAUAUUGAGGAAUUAGGCAAUAUUGGCUUUUGACUGUUUAGCAAAAACAUUGUUUUUUGUUGGGAUGAAAAAUAAGGUCUGCCCACUGCUGAUUGGUAAAGGGCUGCGGUAUUUUGACUGUAUGAAGGUAGCAUAAUCAUUAGCUUUUUAAUUGUGAGCUGGUAUGAAGGUGAAACAGGGGCUUACUAUUUUGAUAAUAAUUAAUGAAUUUUAUUUUUAUGUGAAAAAUCAUAAUUGAAUUAAAGGGACAAGAAGACCCUAGUAAGUUUUAUUUUUUGUUGUGAUGAGUAUAUAGUUUAUUAAAUUUAUAUGAUUUGUGGUUUGAGAGUUUGACUGGGGCGGUAUAUAAUUAAACAUUAUUUAAUUUUUAAUUUUUGAUAGCGUUUGUUAGACCUGAUUUGGUUAGUUGUGUGUUAAAUUACUGUAGGGAUAACAGCGUAAUUUUUUUUUAGAGUUCUUAUUGACGGAAAA
Molecule: ribosomal RNA, 1044 nt
Filed under: Xystodesmus serrulatus
Lineage: Eukaryota; Metazoa; Arthropoda; Diplopoda; Polydesmida; Xystodesmidae
Description: partial large subunit ribosomal RNA
Source: RNAcentral